Xyrauchen texanus (razorback sucker) is the source of this 231-nucleotide long non-coding RNA. RefSeq lists it as uncharacterized. The transcript is spliced from 4 exons. The record is from RefSeq and is a predicted model, not a curated record. Lineage: Eukaryota; Metazoa; Chordata; Actinopteri; Cypriniformes; Catostomidae.
GUGCGUUCAAUCUGAUGCCUUCAAAUUUAAGAUUGUGCUGCAGCAGAGACCUAUGACCAAAAGGGGGAUCAUCGCUAUGGAAUAUGGCUGCAUCACUCUCGCCUUCACCUGCCAUUCGCACUAGGAGGGCACGCAGCACCCCAAUCGAAAAUCAGAAAGCCAAUACGAAUGAUAGUGAUCAGACACCUGUUGCAAAGAGGGCAAAGACAAAGAUUCAGAGAGCGACAGAAG